RNAcentral lists this ribosomal RNA (530 nucleotides) under Phoenicagrion flammeum. RNAcentral describes it as "partial 16S ribosomal RNA". It matches the Rfam family "Bacterial large subunit ribosomal RNA", at positions 1832 to 2619 of the family's 2925-position model. The record is from RNAcentral. Lineage: Eukaryota; Metazoa; Arthropoda; Insecta; Odonata; Coenagrionidae.
GUCCUUCCGUUUUUUUUGUAAGGUCAGGCCUGCCCAGUGAGUAUUUAACGGCCGCGGUAUUUUGACCGUGCAAAGGUAGCAUAAUCAUUAGUCUUUUAAUAGGAGGCUGGAAUGAAAGGUUUAACGAAACUUGAUCUAUCUCAUUUAUAUUUUUAUAAUUUAACUUUUAAGUCAAAAGGCUUAAUUAAUAUUGGUGGACGAGAAGACCCUAUAGAGCUUUACAUUAUUUAUUUUAAUACUAAAUUGUUUAAUAAUAUUAUAUUAAUUUAUUGAAUGUUUUGUUGGGGUGACAAGGAAUAUAUAAUUAACUUUCAUUAUUUAAUAUACAUUAAUUUAUGAUUGUUGGAUCCAAUAAUAUUGAUCAUUAGAUUAAGUUACCUUAGGGAUAACAGCGUAAUCUUCUUUCAGAGUUCAAAUUUACAAGAAGGCUUGCGACCUCGAUGUUGGAUUAAGAUAAUAAUUAGGUGCAGUAGCUUAAUUAAUAGGUCUGUUCGACCUUUAAAUUCUUACAUGAUCUGAGUUCAGACCGG